RNAcentral lists this ribosomal RNA (484 nucleotides) under uncultured bacterium. RNAcentral's name for it is "partial 16S ribosomal RNA". It matches the Rfam family "Bacterial small subunit ribosomal RNA", at positions 28 to 507 of the family's 1533-position model. The record is from RNAcentral.
AUUGAACGCUGGCGGCAUGCUUUACACAUGCAAGUCGAACGGCAGCGCGGGCUUCGGCCUGGCGGCGAGUGGCGAACGGGUGAGUAAUGCAUCGGAACGUGCCCAGUAGUGGGGGAUAGCCCGGCGAAAGCCGGAUUAAUACCGCAUACGACCUGAGGGUGAAAGCGGGGGACCGAACGGCCUCGCGCUAUUGGAGCGGCCGAUGUCGGAUUAGCUAGUUGGUGGGGUAAAGGCUUACCAAGGCGACGAUCCGUAGCUGGUCUGAGAGGACGACCAGCCACACUGGGACUGAGACACGGCCCAGACUCCUACGGGAGGCAGCAGUGGGGAAUGUUGGACAAUGGGGGCAACCCUGAUCCAGCCAUGCCGCGUGCGGGAAGAAGGCCUUCGGGUUGUAAACCGCUUUUGUUCGGGAAGAAAUCCUCUGGGCUAAUACCCCGGGGGGAUGACGGUACCGGAAGAAUAAGCACCGGCUAACUACGUG